GACAGAGGGUGCAAACGUUGUUCGGAAUUACUGGGCGUAAAGCGCGUGUAGGCGGUUUCGCAAGUCAGAUGUGAAAGCCCUCGGCUCAACCGGGGAAGUGCAUUUGAAACUGCGAGACUAGAGUCCCGGAGAGGAUGGUGGAAUUCUCGGUGUAGAGGUGAAAUUCGUAGAUAUCGAGAGGAACACCGGUGGCGAAGGCGGCCAUCUGGACGGUGACUGACGCUGAGACGCGAAAGCGUGGGGAGCAAACAGG
This 253-nucleotide ribosomal RNA is filed under the name uncultured prokaryote. RNAcentral's name for it is "partial 16S ribosomal RNA". It matches the Rfam family "Bacterial small subunit ribosomal RNA", at positions 524 to 776 of the family's 1533-position model. The record is from RNAcentral.